This 384-nucleotide long non-coding RNA is filed under the name Equus asinus (donkey). RNAcentral describes it as "lncRNA (ENSEASG00005024072.1)". Lineage: Eukaryota; Metazoa; Chordata; Mammalia; Perissodactyla; Equidae. The record is from RNAcentral.
UCACACCACAAGCAAAAUUUAAUUUAAGCAGCCCUUUCCAAGAGCCAUGAAAUUCCAGAGAUGAGAGGUCAUUUAGGUCAAGUGUUCCUCUUACAGCAAAGGAAGCCCACCCUAGAGAUGAUGUGAUCUGGAGGCAAGAGAAGGACAGAGGGCCCUAAAUUCAAAAGAGCAGUGAUUUACUUCCGGCAGUGUCACUUGCUAGAUGCAUGAACUAAGCUCCCAGCUGAUAGCCAUUGUUCUCCUGGAUGGGCCACUUGAUUGUGGGGCUGCCUUUUCCCUAGCCCCAGUGGUCAGGGAGCCUUGCCCUGCUCUUGGUGGGCAGAUGUUCUUAAGAAGGACAGGUCUCUGUCCUGACGUACACUGGAAUUGUGAAAGAUCUCACCU